GACGAACGCUGGCGGCGUGCUUAACACAUGCAAGUCGAACGGAAAGGCCCUGCUUUUGUGGGGUGCUCGAGUGGCGAACGGGUGAGUAACACGUGAGUAACCUGCCCUUGACUUUGGGAUAACUUCAGGAAACUGGGGCUAAUACCGGAUAUGAGCUCCUGCUGCAUGGUGGGGGUUGGAAAGUUUCGGCGGUUGGGGAUGGACUCGCGGCUUAUCAGCUUGUUGGUGUGGUAGUGGCUUACCAAGGCUUUGACGGGUAGCCGGCCUGAGAGGGUGACCGGCCACAAGGGGACUGAGAGACGGCGCAGACGGGUACGGGAGGCAGCGGGGGGGAAUAUGGCAGAGUGGGCGGAAGCCUGAUGCAGCAACGCCGGGUGCGGGAAGACGGGUUUUGGGUGGUAAACAGAUGUCGCCGGAGACGAAGCGUGAGUGACGGUAAUGGGUAAAGAAGCACCGGCUAACUACGUG
Molecule: ribosomal RNA, 468 nt
Filed under: uncultured bacterium
Lineage: Bacteria
Description: partial 16S ribosomal RNA
Rfam family: Bacterial small subunit ribosomal RNA
Source: RNAcentral